RNAcentral lists this ribosomal RNA (88 nucleotides) under Caryophanales bacterium. The record is from RNAcentral. Lineage: Bacteria; Bacillati; Bacillota; Bacilli; Caryophanales.
CGUUCCCAUUCCGAACACGGAAGUUAAGCUCUUCAGCGCCGAUGGUAGUUGGGGGCUGUCCCCCUGUGAGAGUAGGACGUUGCCAAGC